GGGGUUGUGGCUCAGCGGUAGAGUGCUUGCCUUGUAUGCAUGAGACUCUGGGUUAGAUCCUCAGCACCACA
This 71-nucleotide transfer RNA is filed under the name Marmota monax (woodchuck). Its description in RNAcentral is "tRNA.Thr". It matches the Rfam family "tRNA". From Rfam's summary of the family: Transfer RNA (tRNA) molecules are approximately 80 nucleotides in length. The record is from RNAcentral. Lineage: Eukaryota; Metazoa; Chordata; Mammalia; Rodentia; Sciuridae.